This 441-nucleotide ribosomal RNA is filed under the name uncultured bacterium. RNAcentral describes it as "partial 16S ribosomal RNA". It matches the Rfam family "Bacterial small subunit ribosomal RNA", at positions 339 to 795 of the family's 1533-position model. The record is from RNAcentral.
CUACGGGGGGCAGCAGUGGGGAAUAUUGGGCAAUGGGCGCAAGCCUGACCCAGCAACGCCGCGUGAGGGAAGAAGGUUUUCGGAUUGUAAACCUCUGUCCUUGGGGACGAGGAAGUGACGGUACCCAAGGAGGAAGCUCCGGCUAACUACGUGCCAGCAGCCGCGGGAAUACGUAGGGAGCAAGCGUUGUCCGGAAUUACUGGGCGUAAAGGGUGCGUAGGCGGCAUAUUAAGUCAGGUGUGAAAUACUCGGGCUCAACCCGGGGGCUGCAUUUGAAACUGAUAUGCUUGAGUGUGAGAGAGGAAAGUGGAAUUCCUAGUGUAGCGGUGGAAUGCGUAGAUACUAGGAGGAACACCAGUGGCGAAGGCGACUUUCUGGCUCAUAACUGACGCUGAGGCACGAAAGCGUGGGGAGCAAACAGGAUUAGAUACCCUGGUAGUC